GGUGGCUCAGUGCUAGAGCGCUUGCCUUGCAUGCAUGAAGUCCUGGGUUCAAUUCCUCAGCACCA
RNAcentral lists this transfer RNA (65 nucleotides) under Dipodomys ordii (Ord's kangaroo rat). It matches the Rfam family "tRNA". From Rfam's summary of the family: Transfer RNA (tRNA) molecules are approximately 80 nucleotides in length. Their secondary structure includes four short double-helical elements and three loops (D, anti-codon, and T loops). The record is from Rfam by way of RNAcentral. Lineage: Eukaryota; Metazoa; Chordata; Mammalia; Rodentia; Heteromyidae.